This 95-nucleotide ribosomal RNA is filed under the name Pteropus alecto (black flying fox). Lineage: Eukaryota; Metazoa; Chordata; Mammalia; Chiroptera; Pteropodidae. RNAcentral also lists the same sequence under 1 other name. The record is from RNAcentral.
GUCUACGUCCAUGAUACCCUAAACAAGCUAAGCAGGGUCGGGCCUGGUUAGUUCUUGGAUGGGAGACCACCUAGAAAGACCAGGUGCCGUAGGCA